Molecule: ribosomal RNA, 373 nt
Filed under: uncultured Desulfobulbus sp.
Lineage: Bacteria; Pseudomonadati; Thermodesulfobacteriota; Desulfobulbia; Desulfobulbales; Desulfobulbaceae
Description: bacterial SSU rRNA
Rfam family: Bacterial small subunit ribosomal RNA
Source: RNAcentral
GCCCUCCAUCUGGAAGAAUCUGGAGACAGGUGCUGCAUGGCUGUCGUCAGCUCGUGUCGUGAGAUGUUGGGUUAAGUCCCGCAACGAGCGCAACCCUUGCCUUUAGUUGCCAGCAGUUCGGCUGGGCACUCUAAAGGGACUGCCGGUGUUAAACCGGAGGAAGGUGGGGAUGACGUCAAGUCCUCAUGGCCUUUAUGACCAGGGCUACACACGUACUACAAUGGCCGAUACAAAGGGCAGCGACACUGCGAGGUGAAGCCAAUCCCGUAAAAUCGGUCUCAGUCCGGAUUGGAGUCUGCAACUCGACUCCAUGAAGUUGGAAUCGCUAGUAAUCGUGGAUCAGCAUGCCACGGUGAAUACGUUCCCGGGCCUU